This 67-nucleotide transfer RNA is filed under the name Pristimantis pycnodermis (thickskin robber frog). Its description in RNAcentral is "tRNA-Val". The record is from RNAcentral. Lineage: Eukaryota; Metazoa; Chordata; Amphibia; Anura; Strabomantidae.
CAGAACAUGCCUGCCUAAAACAAUUUGCUAUCAUAAAUUAACGUCUGCUAACCCCGACUGUUCUGAG